RNAcentral lists this ribosomal RNA (496 nucleotides) under uncultured bacterium. RNAcentral describes it as "partial 16S ribosomal RNA". It matches the Rfam family "Bacterial small subunit ribosomal RNA", at positions 29 to 507 of the family's 1533-position model. The record is from RNAcentral.
AUGAACGCUGGCGGCGUGCCUAAUACAUGCAAGUCGAGCGAACAGACGAGGAGCUUGCUCCUCUGACGUUAGCGGCGGACGGGUGAGUAACACGUGGAUAACCUACCUAUAAGACUGGGAUAACUUCGGGAAACCGGAGCUAAUACCGGAUAAUAUGUUGAACCGCAUGGUUCAAUAGUGAAAGACGGUUUUGCUGUCACUUAUAGAUGGAUCCGCGCCGCAUUAGCUAGUUGGUAAGGUAACGGCUUACCAAGGCAACGAUGCGUAGCCGACCUGAGAGGGUGAUCGGCCACACUGGAACUGAGACACGGUCCAGACUCCUACGGGAGGCAGCAGUAGGGAAUCUUCCGCAAUGGGCGAAAGCCUGACGGAGCAACGCCGCGUGAGUGAUGAAGGUCUUCGGAUCGUAAAACUCUGUUAUUAGGGAAGAACAAACGUGUAAGUAACUAUGCACGUCUUGACGGUGCCUAAUCAGAAAGCCACGGCUAACUACGUG